GGGAAUAUGGCUAAGCUGUUAGCGCGCUUGCAUGGCAUGCAAGAGGUCAGCGGUUAGCUCCCGCUUACCUCCA
This 73-nucleotide transfer RNA is filed under the name Janthinobacterium sp. TND4EL3. RNAcentral's name for it is "tRNA_Ala_GGC". It matches the Rfam family "tRNA". Rfam says of the family: Transfer RNA (tRNA) molecules are approximately 80 nucleotides in length. The record is from RNAcentral. Lineage: Bacteria; Pseudomonadati; Pseudomonadota; Betaproteobacteria; Burkholderiales; Oxalobacteraceae.